UGGGGAAUAUUGCACAAUGGGCGAAAGCCUGAUGCAGCAACGCCGCGUGAGUGAUGAAGGCCUUCGGGUUGUAAAGCUCUGUCUUCUGGGACGAUAAUGACGGUACCAGAGGAGGAAGCCACGGCUAACUACGUGCCAGCAGCCGCGGUAAUACGUAGGUGGCAAGCGUUGUCCGGAUUUACUGGGCGUAAAGGAUGCGUAGGCGGAUACUUAAGUCAGAUGUGAAAAUCCCGGGCUUAACUUGGGAACUGCAUUUGAAACUGGUUAUCUAGAGUGCGGGAGAGGAAAGUGGAAUUCCUAGUGUAGCGGUGAAAUGCGUAGAGAUUAGGAAGAACAUCAGUGGCGAAGGCGACUUUCUGGACCGUAACUGACGCUGAGGCAUGAAAGCGUGGGGAGCAAACA
This 402-nucleotide ribosomal RNA is filed under the name uncultured bacterium. RNAcentral's name for it is "bacterial SSU rRNA". It matches the Rfam family "Bacterial small subunit ribosomal RNA", at positions 355 to 774 of the family's 1533-position model. The record is from RNAcentral.